RNAcentral lists this ribosomal RNA (486 nucleotides) under uncultured bacterium. Its description in RNAcentral is "bacterial SSU rRNA". It matches the Rfam family "Bacterial small subunit ribosomal RNA", at positions 501 to 987 of the family's 1533-position model. The record is from RNAcentral.
CUACGUGCCAGCAGCCGCGGUAAUACGUAGGUCCCGAGCGUUGUCCGGAUUUAUUGGGCGUAAAGCGAGCGCAGGCGGUUAGAUAAGUCUGAAGUUAAAGGCUGUGGCUUAACCAUAGUACGCUUUGGAAACUGUUUAACUUGAGUGCAAGAGGGGAGAGUGGAAUUCCAUGUGUAGCGGUGAAAUGCGUAGAGAUGUGGAGGAAUACCGAUGGCGAAGGCAGCCUCCUGGGAUAACACUGACGUUCAUGCUCGAAAGCGUGGGUAGCAAACAGGAUUAGAUACCCUGGUAGUCCACGCCCUAAACGAUGUCAAUUAGCUGUUGGGCAACUUGAUUGCUUGGUAGCGUAGCUAACGCGUGAAAUUGACCGCCUGGGGAGUACGGUCGCAAGAUUAAAACUCAAAGGAAUUGACGGGGACCCGCACAAGCGGUGGAUGAUGUGGAUUAAUUCGAUGCAACGCGAAGAACCUUACCUGGUCUUGACAU